This 254-nucleotide ribosomal RNA is filed under the name uncultured bacterium. RNAcentral describes it as "partial 16S ribosomal RNA". It matches the Rfam family "Bacterial small subunit ribosomal RNA", at positions 524 to 776 of the family's 1533-position model. The record is from RNAcentral.
UACGAAGGGGGCUAGCGUUGCUCGGAAUCACUGGGCGUAAAGCGCACGUAGGCGGGUUGUUAAGUCAGGGGUGAAAUCCUGGAGCUCAACUCCAGAACUGCCUUUGAUACUGGCAAUCUUUGAGUCCGGGAGAGGUGGGUGGAGCUGCGAGUGUAGAGGUGAAAUUCGUAGAUAUUCGCAAGAACACCAGUGGCGAAGGCGGCUCACUGGCCCGGUACUGACGCUGAGGUGCGAAAGCGUGGGGAGCAAACAGG